Molecule: ribosomal RNA, 388 nt
Filed under: uncultured bacterium
Lineage: Bacteria
Description: bacterial SSU rRNA
Rfam family: Bacterial small subunit ribosomal RNA
Source: RNAcentral
GACGAACGCUGGCGGCGUGCUUAACACAUGCAAGUCGAGCGGUAAGGCCCUUUCGGGGGUACACGAGCGGCGAACGGGUGAGUAACACGUGGGUGACCUGCCCUCAGCUCUGGGAUAAGCCUGGGAAACCGGGGUCUAAUACCGGAUAUGACUCCAUGACGCAUGUUGUGGGGUGGAAAGCCUUGUGCGGCUGAGGAUGGGCCCGCGGCCUAUCAGCUUGUUGGUGGGGUGAGGCCUACCAAGGCGACGACGGGUAGCCGGCCUGAGAGGGCGACCGGCCACACUGGGACUGAGACACGGCCCAGACUCCUACGGGAGGCAGCAGUGGGGAAUCUUGCGCAAUGGGCGAAAGCCUGACGCAGCGACGCCGCGUGAGGGAUGACGGCCU